ACGUGCGCACACACAUAUACACACCUCUUUUUGGCAAGUGGUAUUCAGGAGUUGCAUAGAGGACAAAUCCAAAAGUGAUUGCCGUGUGAAAGGCCCUCCUCCUGCCUUGAGAGCACUUCUCCAGUUACGAGGUCACAGACAAUUAGAGAGAGAGAGGAUCAGACAGCUCCACUGUUGUCAUGGCACUGCAUGGCGACUCUCCUGCUCUGCAUGCAUACGCUCACAUGUGCACCACCGAGUCUAGCGAUAAUGAAAAUCCCCCUUCUGAGAGCUAUUUAAGAGUGACUCAAAUUUUCUUUAAUUACACACAAACACACCUAAUGCUAUGAAUGUCAGCACAGACGCACAUUCACACGAGAAUGCGCGCGCACCGAUACGUCUCGCUGACUGCAACUGCCGUCAGCUAACACCUUGCACUUCCUCUUUCCCUCCCCUCCCCGCGUCCUAGACAAACAGUGCCUCGGGCUUCGAGAGCAGACAUUUUUUUUGAAAGCGAGGAGCAGAAGGGCCUGCAGGGACAUGGGCUGACUCCAGAUCUUAUCGCCGCUACCAUCCCGUAUUAGGUUGACAGCAUAACAUCAGGAUGUAUUGGGACUGAGUCUGCCUCAAGAGUCAGUUUGUGAAACUUCUGACUUCCCUCUGCAAUAGACUCAAUGAUCCAUCCUGGGUGUACCCUACCUCUUGGCCUAUGACAGCUGGUAUAGCUUUCAACCCCCACUCAACCUUGAUUUGGAUAAGCAGCUUUCCGUGUCCGCAAGCGAGUAUGGUUCCGACCUCGAUGUGGGACGCGCGAUGAGUGGCUCCAUCCACAGUGACUACCACUGUACCUCAAUGUUUUAUUAAAACAGUCUGGGCUCUGUCAAAACAACCACUUCUGUACAGUUUUAUGGAGGGCGGGCACUUUGCUGGGACGUCCCGCAGAGGAAUGCCCAACACGAGACCUGCAAGAUGCAGAAGCGCUACGAAAAAGGGCUUCGUGUACUUCAGCUACUUCAAAGAGGGACACAGAAUGUAUUCUCAGAGUCGAAAUAAAAACACUACAGUAUACAAAAUUACGCUUGCUGUACAAGAGUUGUUAUAGUGCUUGUAUAAAAGAUAAUAAAACCUAUUCAAGCCUG
Oreochromis niloticus (Nile tilapia) is the source of this 1118-nucleotide long non-coding RNA. RefSeq lists it as uncharacterized. Lineage: Eukaryota; Metazoa; Chordata; Actinopteri; Cichliformes; Cichlidae. The transcript is spliced from 6 exons. The record is from RefSeq and is a predicted model, not a curated record.